Molecule: ribosomal RNA, 468 nt
Filed under: uncultured bacterium
Lineage: Bacteria
Description: partial 16S ribosomal RNA
Rfam family: Bacterial small subunit ribosomal RNA
Source: RNAcentral
GACGAACGCUGGCGGCGUGCUUAACACAUGCAAGUCGAACGGAAAGGCCCUUCUUUUUUUUUUUUCUCGUUUGGCGCUCGGGUGUGUAUCCCGUGUGUAUCCUUCCCUUUUCUUUGUGAUAUCUUCUGUUAACUUGGGCUAAUACCUGAUAUGUUCUCCUGCUGCAUGUUGUUGGUUGGUAAGUUUCGGCGGUUGGGGAUGGACUCGCGGGUUAUCAGCUUGUUGGUUGUGUAGUGGCUUACCAAGGCUUUGACGGGUAGCCGGCAUGAGAGGGUGACAGGGGACAAUGGGAAUGAGAGACGGACCAGACUGGUACGGGAGGCAGCAGUGGGGAAUAUUGCAGAAUGGGGGGAAGGCAGAUGAAGAAACGCGGGGAGGGGGAAGACGGGGUACGGGUUGUAAAAAGAAUUAGAAUGAGACGAAGAGAGAGUGACGGUAAUGGGUAAAGAAGCACCGGCUAACUACGUG